This 253-nucleotide ribosomal RNA is filed under the name uncultured bacterium. Its description in RNAcentral is "partial 16S ribosomal RNA". It matches the Rfam family "Bacterial small subunit ribosomal RNA", at positions 524 to 776 of the family's 1533-position model. The record is from RNAcentral.
UACGUAGGGUGCGAGCGUUAAUCGGAAUUACUGGGCGUAAAGCGUGCGCAGGCGGUUCGUUAAGUCAGAUGUGAAAGCCCCGGGCUCAACCUGGGAACUGCAUUUGAAACUGGCGGGCUUGAGUGCGGCAGAGGGGGGUGGAAUUCCGCGUGUAGCAGUGAAAUGCGUAGAGAUGCGGAGGAACACCGAUGGCGAAGGCAGCCCCCUGGGCCGACACUGACGCUGAGACGCGAAAGCGUGGGGAGCGAACAGG